GAGGGACAGAUUUGUACCUCAACACUACUAUAGAGAAGCAUCAAAGAUUGCAUGGGUUGGUGCAAGGAAAUAGGAGUGUGGAAGAGUACUUUUAAGAAAUGGAAAUGGCUAUGUUGAGAGCCAAUAUUGAGGAGGAUAGGGAAGCCGCUAUGGCUCAGUUCUUGAAGGGAUUGAAUGUGGAUAUUGCUAACAUAAUGCAAUUGCAACACUGUGUUGAGUUGGAUGACAUGCUAAACAUGGCUAUAAAGAUUGAGAAACAAUUAAAGAAGAAGAAAGCAAUGAAGUUUGGAGUGAGGAUGAAUGCGGCAACCACUUCUCCAUGGAAGCCGAAUUGGAGUAAGGGAGUUACCAAAGAUGAAAAGAUGGUUUCUAAGAAAAAGAAAGUGGAGAUUAAGGUGAGUGAAAAGCCACAAGUUAUUGACAAGGUAAGGGGCCUAAACUUCUAUUGGGAGAACUAGAGACAUCAAGUGCUUUAGGUAUUUAGUAAAUGGCUAUUAUGCAUUACAAUGCCCUAACAAAAGGAUCAUGAUAAUGAGGCCGAAUGGGGACAUUGCGCUCGAAGAUGAUGAAGUAGAUGAUGAUGAUGUGAGUGAGAGUAUGCCACACUUAAAGGAGAUAGUGAUGUAAAGCAUGCCAUGGGUGGCAAUGUGCUUGUGGUGAGACGUGCUUUGAAUGUACAAGUGAAAGAGGAUGGAGGUGAUGAACUCCAAAGGGAGAACAUCUUUCAUACUAGGUGCUUGGUGAAUGAGAAAACUUAUAGUGUGAUUAUAGAUAGUGGGAAGAUUGCGUACCAUUCAUUUAGUUUGCAUACAAUAGAGCUGUGCAUUUUUCUAUUAGCUUUUCUCCUUUUGAGAUUGUUUAUGGUUUUAAUCCAUUCACUCCUUUGGACUUGCUACCUUUGCCUACUAAUGAGCUUGUUAGUUUAGAUGGGAAAAAGAAAGCAGAAUUGGUGAAGAAGAUUCAUGAGCAAGCACGGCAAAGACUUGAAAGAGUGAAUGGAGAAGAGAAAACCACAUUCAACAAAGGGUGAAAACAUGUAGUCUUUCAACUCGGGGACCUUGUUUGGGUGCAUCUUAGGGAAGAAAGAUUUUUUACCAAAAGGAAAUCCAAGCUUCAACCAAGGAGUGAUGGACCCUUUAAAGUGGUUGAGAGGAUCAAUGACAAUGCACACUGAAUUGAUCUUCCAGGCGAGUAUAAUGUGAGUGUCACUUUUAAUGUUACUGAGCUUUCUCCUUUCUAUGCAGAUGAUGACAAUUCAAGGAUGAAUUCUUUCAAAGAGGAAGAGGAAGAUGAGGAGCCAAUUGCACCAUUAUUGCACCAAGGUCCAAUUACAAGGUCCAUGGCAAAAAAGCUUCAAGGCAUGGUGUCCAAACACAUUAACAAGCUCAACAUGAUGGAAAAAUUUGGUUCAAAAGAGGAAGCACCGAAGAACACCAAUUUCAUGGAGCUUGGUAUGUUAGCCGAACCAUUGGUGCACCACGGAGAGGAAUCAGUUCAAUCACUUGGGACCAAGGUCUCAGUUGCCCAUACCAUUUCACACUCCGCAUGCUCCAAAUGUGUGUCUUAAUCUGUACCCAUUGCUACCCAAUUGCUGGAGAAAAGUUUGUCCAUCUACAUGCCAAAUAAGAAAAAAGCAUCAACUCCAUUUUUUGGAUACACCAACAGCCUAAUCUAACACCUAUUUUGUAUACUUUACAAGGCUGAAUUAUGUUAUAUUUGAUUGUACCCAUACUAUUUAUGUUUGGACUCAUUUUCCAUUUUUGAUUAAGAAAAAUGUAAUAUCCAAGCAUGAGAAAACACAUUGGUUACUACCAUACUUGUUGGACUAUCUUUUUUAAAAUGAGAUUUCUCCUUCAUUCUGAACAGAUUUUGAAGAUCAUAAUAGAAUUUUCUCUCAUUGGAG
RNAcentral lists this unclassified non-coding RNA (1903 nucleotides) under Hevea brasiliensis (rubber tree). The record is from RNAcentral. Lineage: Eukaryota; Viridiplantae; Streptophyta; Magnoliopsida; Malpighiales; Euphorbiaceae.